GGGCACGCCGCUGCACGCCCGAGUUACAUGGCCCAGUUUGUCUUACACCGUUAGGUGUUGCCCCUGCCUGUGGGUUAUGUUUCUGUGAGAAACCGUGCGGCGGUGCGCCCGUGCGCAAAGUCAGGACCUCUCUAAGGAGUUAAAAAUGUGACUCAGUGCCAGCUUAAGCAGCUCCAGUAUCUUCUGGCAUCUCAUUCGCACCACUUGGGGAACCCAGAAGCCUAUCUGGGAAGUAAUCUGAGUUGGAAACAGUACACCAAGAAAAAAACAGUUGCUUUUAACCUGGAUCAACCUGGCCCUCUGCACCAUCACACAGAGAAGUUAGGUCUCUCCAUGCACAACGGAGCCAGGAGGAGCCAAAAACUGGGGAACCCUGAAUGCGCAUACCACAACCUGUUUGCUGUCAUACAAACACACUUUGCAAAAGAUUCCUGCUGUAAAGCAAGGUCUUGGGGAAGGACAGAACAAAUAUGGGAGUUGAACUAAGCCAUUGAUGGAUAACUAAUAAAUGCUGUUUGAGAAAGUUCA
This 528-nucleotide long non-coding RNA is filed under the name Anser brachyrhynchus (Pink-footed goose). Its description in RNAcentral is "lncRNA (ENSABRG00000000476.1)". The record is from RNAcentral. Lineage: Eukaryota; Metazoa; Chordata; Aves; Anseriformes; Anatidae.